CUACGGGACGCUCCAGUGAGGAAUCUUAGACAAUGGGCGCAAGCCUGAUCUAGCCAUGCCGCGUGAGUGAUGAAGGCCUUAGGGUCGUAAAGCUCUUUCGCCAGGGAUGAUAAUGACAGUACCUGGUAAAGAAACCCCGGCUAACUCCGUGCCAGCAGCCGCGGUAAUACGGAGGGGGUUAGCGUUGUUCGGAAUUACUGGGCGUAAAGCGCACGUAGGCGGAUCAGAAAGUUGGGGGUGAAAUCCCGGGGCUCAACCCCGGAACUGCCUCCAAAACUCCUGGUCUUGAGUUCGAGAGAGGUGAGUGGAAUUACGAGUGUAGAGGUGAAAUUCGUAGAUAUUCGGAGGAACACCAGUGGCGAAGGCGGCUCACUGGCUCGAUACUGACGCUGAGGUGCGAAAGUGUGGGGAGCAAACAGGAUUAGAUACCCCCGUAGUC
This 439-nucleotide ribosomal RNA is filed under the name uncultured bacterium. RNAcentral describes it as "partial 16S ribosomal RNA". It matches the Rfam family "Bacterial small subunit ribosomal RNA", at positions 339 to 795 of the family's 1533-position model. The record is from RNAcentral.